AGUGAGGAAUAUUGGUCAAUGGACGCAAGUCUGAACCAGCCAUGUCGCGUGCAGGACGACGGCCCUAUGGGUUGUAAACUGCUUUUGUAUGGGAAGAAAGUUAGCUACGAGUAGCUAUUUGCCGGUACCAUACGAAUAAGGAUCGGCUAACUCCGUGCCAGCAGCCGCGGUAAUACGGAGGAUCCGAGCGUUAUCCGGAUUUAUUGGGUUUAAAGGGUGCGUAGGCGGACUGAUAAGUCAGUGGUGAAAUGCUGCAGCUUAACUGUAGAAUUGCCGUUGAUACUGUCAGUCUUGAGUACAGUUGAGGUAGGCGGAAUGUGGUGUGUAGCGGUGAAAUGCAUAGAUAUACCACAGAACACCGAUUGCGAAGGCAGCUUACUAAAGUGACACUGACGCUGAUGCACGAAAGCGUGGGUAUCAAACAGGAUUAGAUACCCUGGUAGUCUACGCUGUAAACGAUGAUUACUGGUUGUUAGCGAUAUACCGUUAGUGACUGAGCGAAAGCAUUAAGUAAUCCACCUGGGGAGUACGUCGGCAACGAUG
RNAcentral lists this ribosomal RNA (543 nucleotides) under uncultured bacterium. RNAcentral's name for it is "bacterial SSU rRNA". It matches the Rfam family "Bacterial small subunit ribosomal RNA", at positions 353 to 896 of the family's 1533-position model. The record is from RNAcentral.